Molecule: non-coding RNA, 5528 nt
Organism: Podarcis lilfordi (Lilford's wall lizard)
Lineage: Eukaryota; Metazoa; Chordata; Lepidosauria; Squamata; Lacertidae
Source: the annotation of a GenBank genome assembly
AUGUCCAGUGUUAAUCAUGCUCAGAGUAAAACCAUUAUUUAUUUUAAUGGGUCUACUCAGAGUAUGGCUUGCACAUAUUUUUAAACAGAGCAGGAGGGAGAUGAGAGUUUAGUCUAAGGCAGGCAUAGGCAAACUCGACCCUCCAGAUGUUUUGGGACUACAACUCCCAUCAUCCCUAGCUAACAGGACCAGUGGUCAGGGAUGAUGGGAAUUGUAGUUGAGUUUGCCUAUGCCAGGUCUAAGGGCUUAGCCUUUCCUCCACUUUUUCCAGGUACAUACUUUAAAGUGCUGUGUCCCAGCGUCCAUGUUUUUGCUCUGGAGCUUCCACCACAAAAAUGUCCUAAAUCGGAGCAAAGGGCAAUCUGCAUAAAACCCAAAUGGAUGUUUGCUCUCAGUGAGUGCUAAAGAGUGGGUUUUUGCAGAGAAUGCUUGGGGGUGGGCACCCAAGCUCAGACACAGAGCUUUUAAGCAGGGACCUGUGCUGGAAAGAGUGAGGAUAAAGGACAGUGUGGAUAAGCCCCAAGGAAAGGAAAACCAGGACAACUUCAUAAACAGAGGUAUGGUUGAAAAGAAUGGCUGGAGUGGAGAAGCAAGGAAAGAGAAAGGAAGGAUGUCGAGAAGAAUUCAUAGGUUCAAAUUAUGAUAUAUGUGCUGUGUGUUAGGUACCCGGCAACCAUACCAGAAUCUCUUUCAACUUGCUCAGAGGAAAUCUUCUUUCCAGAAUAGAAAGAGAAGUAGCGUGGACUCUGGGGUUUUGGUAAAUGGAAUGCCAUGUUCAGUUAACAAUGAAAUUAUAGAUGAUGUUCCUGUGAUGAUUGAAAGCCAGACUGCGCCACCAGCACACACAUACAAAGCUACUGUACCUGGGACAGAUCCAGCCACAUCAGUCAUCUGUGGCUGCAUGCUCCUAGAGUUCGUUUAAAAGGAUAUCCCUUAGUUUGAGCGCUCAUCACAGAGACGUCUGUGAACAUGCUGACUCUGCAGCCUGGGAGAACAGCGCUGAAAAGCGCAUCACAAUGCACAAAGUCUCCAGCGCGUGUGACAAAAAGAGGAAAAGGGGGAUGGGCAGAAGGAAGAAAAUAAGGAAGCUCAGCCACCAGUUCUUAAAUUUACUGCUCAUCCACGCUUCUGCUUGUCCCGUGCCUAGAAAGCACAGGUCUAAGUGGUUUUCUGCUUUCUAGGGUCCGAGCAGUUUUGUGUUUUCCCCACAGCUUUCUCCUGGAAACACAGUCAGCUCUGCCAUUAGGCAGACUGAGGCAGCUGCCUUCGGUGGCAGAAGGCCCCGGGGGGCAGCUCCACAGGCAUCCCAUCACCUCCACAGAAGUGGCACCAACAAAAAUCACAUGAGAUCUUGUGGAGCGUACAAGAUGCCCACGUCACUUCUCUGCUGGUGGCAGAUGCAGCGAGGGGGGCAGAGAAGUGGUGAGAGCGGCAGCAGCUAUGGAGGCAGCAGGGCAAGGUGACACUUCCUGUUUUGCCUCAAGCAGCAAAAUGGGAUGCACCACCCCUGCUCUUUGCUGCUGAAUUAAAACAAAUGACAAUCCAUGGAAAAGUCGGCUGCCAUUUGGCAGCAGGGCAAACAGAGGUGUGGGUGAACCCAGAAUAAAGUUCUUGUAACAUCUGGCCUGGACACAAACAGCUCAGGGAGAGGAGGAACCAAAUGGAUCUGCCUUUCAGCUAAGUGGGGCCAUUUCCUGUCUCUCUGAGCUGAGGGAAAAGAGGAACCAAACAGAGCUGGACUUCAGUCCCAGGAAUUUGUUCAAAUGUUCUAUUCUUGUGAAUUCUAGUUCAUCUGUCGAUUUGAAUGGGAAGCAACAGCAAAACCUUCCGCUCCAUCUGAAGUUUUUGUCACCUUUGCCUUAUUAUGCCUUAUCUUGUCAAAACGUUAGUUCCUCCUUUACUUCAAACUUUGGAAUUCCCUCUAGAGGAUAAUAAUAAACUUUUCUUGCUACCACCUCACAAUAGUCCAUUCUGCGAUACCUUUCACCCAGGGAAGUGCAGGCUUUCUCAAAUACAUGAAACCACUUGUAGGACAUGAGAGGAAGUGUCUCAUUCCCAAAAUAUAAUUAUAAACGAGCCUCAUACAUAUGUACCAUAAGUAUGUAUACAAACUCAAUGAGAUGUGUGAGCUUGCUUUUGCUAGGUAAUCUCAUUUAUAUUCAGUCUAAUUUGAGACAAACUCUUAUCUUCUCAUCAACACACAGAACCCUGUCUCUUUUCCGAUCUUUCGUAUUUGUCAGAGCUGAAAAUCAUGGAGAAAUGUAGAAGAAUAGCCAGUGCUCUUGAAUAUCUACCAUAUUCUGCAAAAUAUUUAUUUAUUUAUUUAUUUAUUUAUUUAUUUAUUUAGUUGUUGUUUAGUCGUGUCCGACUCUUCAUGACCCCAUGGACCAGAGCACGCCAGGCACUCCUGUCUUCCACUUUCUCCCGCAGUUUGGUCAGACUCAUGUUUGUAGCUUUGUAAACACUAUCCAGCCAUCUCGUCCUCUGUCGUCCCCUUCUCCUUGUGCCCUCCAUCUUUCCCAACAUCAGGGUCUUUUCCAGGGAGUCUUCUCUUCUCAUGAGGUGGCCAAAGUAUUGGAGCCUCAACUUCACGAUCUGUCCUUCCAGUGAGCACUCAGGGCUGAUUUCCUUAAGAAUGGAUACGUUUGAUCUUCUUGCAGUCCAUGGGACUCUCAAGAGUCUUCUCCAGCACCAUAAUUCAAAAGCAUCAAUUUUUUGGCGAUCAGCCUUCUUGAUGGUCCAGCUCUCAUUUCCAUACAUCACUACUGGGAAAACCAUGGCUUUAGCUAUACGGACCUUUGUUGGCAAGGUGAUCUCUCUGCUUUUUAAGAUGCUGUCUAGGUUUGCCAUCGCCUUUCUCCCAAGGAGCAGGCAUCUUUUAAUUUUGUGACUGCUGUCACCAUCUGCAGUGAUCAUGGAGCCCAAAAAAGUAAAAUCUCUCACUGCCUCCAUUUCUUCCCCUUCUAUUUGCCAGGAGGUGAUGGGACCAGUGGCCAUGAUCUUCGUUUUUUUGAUGUUGAGCUUCAGGCCAUUUUUGUGCUCUCCUCUUUCACCCUCAUCAAAAGGUUCUUUAAUUCCUCCUCACUUUCUGCCAUCAAGGUUGUGUCAUCUGCAUAUCUGAGGUUGUUGAUAUUUCUUCCGGCAAUCUUAAUUCCGGCUUGGGACUCAUCCAGCCCAGCCUUUCGCAUGAUGAAUUCUGCAUAUAUGUUAAAUAAGCAGGGAGACAGUAUACAGCCUUGCCAUACUCCUUUCCCAAUUUUGAACCAAUCAGUUGUUCCAUAUCCAGUUCUAACUGUAGCUUCUUGUCCCACAUAGAUAUUUCUCAGGAGACAGAUGAGGUGAAAGAAAAAUAUUGCAUAGGAACCUGGAAUGUAAGAACCAUGAACCUUGGUAAGUUGGAUGUGGUCAAAAAUGAGAUGGCAAGAAUAAAUAUUGACAUCCUGGGCAUCAGUGAACUAAAAUGGAUGGAAAUGGGCGAAUUCAGUUCGGAUGAUUAUCAUAUCUACUACUGUGGGCAAGAAUCCCGUAAAAGAAAUGGAGUGGCCCUCAUAGUCAACAAAAGAGUGGCGAAAGCUGUACUGGGAUGCAAUCUCAAAAAUGAUAGAAUGAUCUCGAUACGAAUCCAAGGCAGAUGUUCUUCUCAUUAUAGGGGAUUGGAAUGCUAAAGUAGGGAGUCAAGAGAUAAAAGGAACAACUGGCAGUUUGGCCUGGGAAUUCAAAACGAAGCAGGGCAAAGGCUAAUAGAGUUCUGCCAAGAGAACAAGCUGGUCAUCACAAACACUCUUUUCCAACAACACAAGAGACGACUCUACGCAUGGACAUCACCAGAUGGGCAGCAUCGAAAUCAGAUUGAUUAUAUUCUCUGCAGCCAAAGAUGGAGAAGCUCUAUACAGUCAGCAAAAUCAAGACCUGGAGCUGACUGUGGCUCAGAUCAUCAGCUUCUUAUAGCAAAAUUCAAGCUUAAACUGAAGAAAGUAGGAAAAACCACUGGGCCGGUAAGAUACAAUCUAAGUCAAAUCCCUUAUGAAUACACAGUGGAAGUGAGGAACAGGUUUAAGGAUUUAGAUUUGGUGGACAGAGUGCCUGAAGAACUAUGGAUGGAGGCUCGUAACAUUAUACAGAAGUCAGCAACUAAAACCAUCCCAAUGAAAAGGAAAUGCAAGAAAGCAAAGUGGCUGUCCAACGAGGCCUUACAAAUAGCGGGGGAGAGAAGGCAAGCAAAAUGCGAGGGAGAUAGUGAAAGAUACAGGAAAUUGAAUGCAGAUUUCCAAAAAAUAGCAAGGAAAGACAAGAAGGCCUUCUUAAACGAGCAAUGCAAAGAAAUAGAGGAAAACAAUAGAAUGGGAAAAACCAGAGAUCUGUUCAAGAAAGUUGGAGAUAUGAAAGGAACAUUUCGUACAAAGAUUACCAUAAUAAAAGACAAAAGUGGAAAGGACCUAACAGAAGCAGAAGACAUCAAGAAGAGGUGGCAAGAAUACACAGAGGAAUUAUACCAGAAAGAUAUGGAUGUCUCGUACACCCCAGGUAGUGUGGUUGCUGACCUUGAGCCAGACAUCCUGGAGAGUGAAGUCAAAUGGGCCUUAGAAAGCAUUGCUAAUAACAAGGCCAGUGGAAGUGAUGAUAUUCCAGCGGAACUAUUUAAAAUUUUAAAUGAUGAUGCUGUUAAGGUGCUACACUCAAUAUGCCAGCAAAUUUGGAAAACUCAGCAGUGGCCAGAGGAUUGGAGAAGAUCAGUCUACAUCCCAAUCCCAAAGAAGGGCAGUGCCAAAGAAUAUAUAUAUAUACACUAAUGCUAUGCCAUGCCAUACUAUACUGAAAUGCUUCUGUGAUUGUCCUUGAAUCUUUCUGUCACACUUGUCAUCCUCUCCUGCCACACCAGUGUGGCACACCACACCCUUUGUGAACCACUGUUCUAGCUAGACAAAAACACUUGAGGGUACAAAGCAGAGCUGGUGAUGUGAGGGGGUCAGGAAGCCUGUGGCCAGGCGAGAGUCGAAGGUCCAGGUAAGGGCACUGGCGGAGGAACGGGGGGCAGGGGGAACCAUUGUGGCUGCCCCCCUCCCCGACAUGCACCACACGCACCCCACUAUGGCGGGUGCCACGGCCCUGCGGGCAGCGCGCCACACCCCAAGGAUGCGCACCACAUCCCUCCCCCAGGAUGUGCACCAGUCAAGCACCCAUCUGCUCUCCACCCAUCUGCUCUCCAGCAUGCAGCUUCACCACUGGGUUCUCCAUCCCUGGAGUAGACAAUACUGACCUUGAUGGACCACUAGUCUGAGUCAUCCAUCCAUCCAUCCUUGCCAUGGAAAGGCUAGUGUGUCUGCAGGAUGGCUGCCCCUGUGUUUGCGCUCCAUGCUGCCCGCAUUAGCAGCCAGGCUUUGCUUCCCAUAUCCUCUUUUUUAAAAAAAAUAAUAUUUAUUACUUUUCCGACAAUUCAAACACACACAAAAAUAAGAAGAAAAAAGAACAGCACAACACAAUACAAAAACACUACACAACGCACUAAACUAACAGAACAAAAACAAUUU